CCUACGGGGGGCAGCAGUCGAGAAUCAUUCACAAUGGGGGAAACUCUGAUGGUGCGACGCCGCGUGGGGGAAUGAAGGUCUUCGGAUUGUAAACCCCUGUCAUGUGGGAGCAAAUUAAAAAGAUAGUACCACAAGAGGAAGAGACGGCUAACUCUGUGCCAGCAGCCGCGGUAAUACAGAGGUCUCAAGCGUUGUUCGGAAUCACUGGGCGUAAAGCGUGCGUAGGCUGUUUCGUAAGUCGUGUGUGAAAGGCGCGGGCUCAACCCGCGGACGGCACAUGAUACUGCGAGACUAGAGUAAUGGAGGGGGAACCGGAAUUCUCGGUGUAGCAGUGAAAUGCGUAGAUAUCGAGAGGAACACUCGUGGCGAAGGCGGGUUCCUGGACAUUAACUGACGCUGAGGCACGAAGGCCAGGGGAGCGAAAGGGAUUAGAUACCCCAGUAGUC
RNAcentral lists this ribosomal RNA (446 nucleotides) under uncultured bacterium. RNAcentral describes it as "partial 16S ribosomal RNA". It matches the Rfam family "Bacterial small subunit ribosomal RNA", at positions 338 to 795 of the family's 1533-position model. The record is from RNAcentral.